Molecule: ribosomal RNA, 308 nt
Filed under: uncultured bacterium
Lineage: Bacteria
Description: partial 16S ribosomal RNA
Rfam family: Bacterial small subunit ribosomal RNA
Source: RNAcentral
GAGACAGCAGUCGCCGCGGGAAUACGAAGGGGGCUAGCGUUGUUCGGAAUUACUGGGCGUAAAGGGCGCGUAGGCGGCCAUUCAAGUUAGAUGUGAAAGCCCUGGGCUCAACCUAGGAAUUGCAUUUGAUACUGUUUGGCUUGAGUUCGGGAGAGAUGAGUGGAAUUCCCAGUGUAGAGGUGAAAUUCGUAGAUAUUGGGAAGAACACCAGUGGCGAAGGCGGCUCACUGGACCGACACUGACGCUGAGGCGCGAAAGCGUGGGGAGCAAACAGGAUUAGAGACCCGCGUAGUCCCUGUCUCUUAUAC